AUGGCGGCCGGAGCAGGAGGAGACGACCUGAAGCUGCUGGGCAUGUGGGCGAGCCCGGCCGUGCUGCGGGUGCGCCUCGCUCUCAGCAUCAAGGGCAUCAGCAGCUACGAGUACCAAGAGGAGGACUUCGACAACAAGAGCGAGCUGCUCCUCCGCUCCAACCCCGUCCACAAGAUGGUCCCCGUGCUGAUCCACGCCGGCAAGCCCGUCUGCGAGUCGACGGUCAUCAUACAGUACCUCGACGAGGCUUUCGCCGGCGACGCCCUCCUCCCGGCCGGCCCCCACGAGCGCGCCGUCGCCCGGUUCUGGGCCGCCUUCGUCGACGACACGCUCCUGAAGGCCAUGUACCAGGCGUCGUGGAGCAAGACGGAGGAGGAGAAAGCGGAGGGGAGGAAAAAGGUGGCCGCCGCCAUGAAGACCCUGGACGGAGCCCUUAGCGACGUCGCCGGAGGGAAGCCGUUCUUUGGCGGCAACGCCCCCGGGUACGUGGACACGGUGCUCGGCGGCCUCCUCGCGUGGGUGCGCUCCGUGGACGUGAUCAAUGGCGUCAAGACCAUCGACCCUGAGACGAUGCCGCUCCUGGCCGCGUGGGCGGACCGCUUCGGCGCGCUGGACGCGGUGGAGGCGGUCAUGCCGGACGUGGACAGGCUGGUGGAGUUCUCCUUGUCCUUGACAACGUAG
This 681-nucleotide ribosomal RNA is filed under the name Triticum aestivum (bread wheat). RNAcentral describes it as "partial small subunit ribosomal RNA". The record is from RNAcentral. Lineage: Eukaryota; Viridiplantae; Streptophyta; Magnoliopsida; Poales; Poaceae.